This 2162-nucleotide long non-coding RNA is filed under the name Nicotiana benthamiana. Its description in RNAcentral is "long non-coding RNA (NBEN_LNC011351)". Lineage: Eukaryota; Viridiplantae; Streptophyta; Magnoliopsida; Solanales; Solanaceae. The record is from RNAcentral.
AAAAAACCUAGCUUCUCUUCAUCUUCUCCAAACACACCCUCAAACCCUAAAACCACCAAGCUCCAAACCCCUCCAACCAUAGCUGCCCUUCCCGUCUUCUUCCUCAUCACCUUCAACCAAAUGAUCUGCAUCGUCCAUCACACCUGAACGACGACCACCAGAUGGACUACAACAAGCCACCAGUCCUCGUCGUUCAGCUCCCCCGCAGCCAGCCACACCAGCAAGUAGCAUCCGAACAACCACGCCAUCGUCUUCCUCAUGUCAUGAACCUGCAGCGACCACCAUCACCUUCAACCAAAUAGUCCGCCAGCCACCUCCCAUCUCCAACCAAAAAACGAUCCAGCCCUGACUCCAUAGCCCAACGACCACCACUGCCAUCUCCACUCUCACGUCCAAACGACCACCCAUGUCGCUAAUCACUCAAACGACCAAAACAGCCCUCGUCGUUGUUCCAUCUCUACGAGUUUUAGUACAUGUUUUUCCGUCGAGAUCGUUGUUCCUGAAGGUAAUGUCAUUGUUUUCCGGUUCGAGUUCCGUCCUGAGUUUGAAAUUUCCGGGCAGAUUCAAGUUAUUGUGGUUUUAAAGUUUCCGGGCAGAUUUGUUUCCGUUCGAGUUCGGCGUUAUUCCGAUCUGGUUAGUUGGUUUAAGUUUCAUUUCUGUCCGUAUUUUGUUCGAUAUUCUCGGAUCUGAAAUCAGUAUAUGUUUGAUUUUUUUCUUGUUCGUUGUUUAUCAUUUAUUGAUUAUUUCUUCAGUUUAUUUUUAUUCAUUUAAAAGAAUUUAGUUUUAAUAUAGAAAUGUUUUAGUUUAUUCACUUGAAUAUUUUAUCUUGAUUGUAAUGUUAUUAGAUUUAAUUUGAAGUUCAAUUGAUUAUUGAGUUUAGUGAUUUGAAUCUGUUUUAUUGUUGUGUUAAGUCUAUAUUUAGAUCUAAGUUAGAGAUUUAAAUUUGUUUGUUUGAUCUGUUAAGUUUAAUUUCAAUCUGAGUUUAGUGAUUGGAGUCUACUUAUUUGAUAUGUUCAAUUUUAUUAUUCUUGUUGAAUCUGAAAGUAUGUUUGUUAAGAAUGUUGUUCAAAAUAAUUUUUAGUUGGUUCUUUGUUGUUCAUCAUAUAAUUUGAAUUUGAUUAAGAAUUGGUUAUAGUUGCUAUAUUUUGGUUAAUUGAUUUAAGUGAAUUGGUUAUAGCUGAUAGGGGUAGAAUAGUAAUUUUCAGUAAUUUCGGGGGGUAUUUUUCGAAUUUUAAAUUUGGACAAAUAUUUAAUUUAAGUACUUUGUCCACUAGAUUAAAGUAUUAUUAAAAUAAUAUAGUGAGGAAUAAGAUAUUUUAUAGUGGGAAUCCAAUAUAUUUAUGUAAGUAGUGGUGGGGGACAAGACAUAAUUAUGUAAAGUAAAAAGGGUAAUAAUGUGCUCUUCUUUGACCACUGAAAAAGGGGAGACUGUGGGACCCGUGUUGACUACUUUUUGCUUAAUUAAAAUCAGAAAUAGUAUAGGUAAUAAUAAAAGGUUAAAAAGUCACAUAGUUAGAAGAAUAUGGGGUGGAAAUUAAAUGAGGUAAAAUGGUUAGUAAUAAUAGUUUAAAAGUAAAAGUUAAUAGUUAAAAUAAUAGAGGAAAGAGUCUUGCUUUGGAUAUAUAAUAAGACUCAUUUUAACACUUAAAGGGGGACUGGAAUUUGGAGAUAAAUAUUUCAGAACUGGAGGGAAGAUAAAAAAGACUAUGGAGUCUUAAGAAUUUUUGAGUGUUUGAAAGUUAGAAAUUAAAGAAAAAUAUGUUCUUCUUCAUUGUUAACAAUUAACAUCAAUUGCUAUUGUUCAUUAAAGUUUCAAGCUUCUUUUUCUUGAGUGAUAAAAAAUCAGAAGUUAUUUUUUGGCAACUAGAUACUUCUUUGUUGAUCUGGUUCGUUUUCUAGUAUUACUGGCAUUCAAGUAGAGUUGCUUGGGUUUAUUCUUUGUUGGUUUUACAAUUUGGAAGUUCUUGGUUUUCUUGUUUGGUUGCAAUCUCCUGGGUUUUCUCCUAUUUCCGCUAUUACUGGGCUACUCCCAUGUUGUUGAAUUGCUGUUGCUGUGUGUGUGUUCUGCUAUUGCUUCCUACUGAUCUUCCUCUUCUUUGUAUCCCAAUACCAGGUACACCACUUUGAAUCACUUUGAUGUACGCCUUGAAGAUGAAAUGAAA